AUGGCUGUGUCGAUCUUAUCCACCUCAUCCAAAAAAUGGGAUGUCAUUAUAAAGCUCGACCAAUUAUCCGAUGACACCGCUUGUAAAUCUUUAUCCAGAUAAUCAAUUUAAAGAUGCUUGAUGAAGUCAAGAAGGAGAUGCACCUGGGCAAUGGACUUGUACUUCUUGAAGCCCGCAAAGAACGCUGCCUUGAAAGCUUGGGCUAUAAUCUUAGCCUCUUUUUUCUCU
Molecule: long non-coding RNA, 228 nt
Filed under: Elaeis guineensis (African oil palm)
Lineage: Eukaryota; Viridiplantae; Streptophyta; Magnoliopsida; Arecales; Arecaceae
Description: long non-coding RNA (EGUI_LNC072489)
Source: RNAcentral